This is an unclassified non-coding RNA of Papio anubis (olive baboon), 148 nucleotides long. It matches the Rfam family "Metazoan signal recognition particle RNA". Rfam says of the family: The signal recognition particle (SRP) is a universally conserved ribonucleoprotein. It is involved in the co-translational targeting of proteins to membranes. The eukaryotic SRP consists of a 300-nucleotide 7S RNA and six proteins: SRPs 72, 68, 54, 19, 14, and 9. Lineage: Eukaryota; Metazoa; Chordata; Mammalia; Primates; Cercopithecidae. The record is from Ensembl.
GCUGGGUGUGCUGGCAUACAUCUGUAGUCCCAGCUACUUGGGAGGCUGAGGCAGGAGAAUCGCUUGAACCCAGGAGGUGGAGGGUGCAGUGAGUCAAGAUCACACCAUUGCACUCCAGCCUGGGUGACAGAGUGAGACCCUGUCUCAA